ACCAAUUUAGUCGGUCAAGAUAUUUGGCUCUCAGCCAGAAGACCCUGGUUCGAAUCCCGGAAAUGGAA
RNAcentral lists this transfer RNA (68 nucleotides) under Selaginella moellendorffii. It matches the Rfam family "tRNA". Rfam says of the family: Transfer RNA (tRNA) molecules are approximately 80 nucleotides in length. The record is from Rfam by way of RNAcentral. Lineage: Eukaryota; Viridiplantae; Streptophyta; Lycopodiopsida; Selaginellales; Selaginellaceae.